GUUUAUCGAAAAGUAGGUGUGCUCGGAUGAGUAAUAUAAACGAUGCCUAAUUUUAUAACGUGUAUAUAACGUGGGGACAAAGUGGCAUUACUUGUACCAUUCAUUGCCACGCUUCAAGAAGAAGCUCAGACUGAAAUUCUAAAGGCAUCCUGGUCUUAGCCAUCAUCUCAGAUUUUACCAGCGCAUUAGAAGUGAGGGGCAGAUUUUCUGUGGCACCCAGAUAUAAGAGAAAAUCAUCUAGAAGGGUCUUGUGCUGAACCACCAAGCCUGUGGACACUUUACAACGGCCUCCUGUACGUAGACUGGAAUACAGGGAAACUACCACGAUUGCUAAAUCAUUGACCUCUAUUUCUGCAUUCACAUGUAGCAACCAUUAGC
Molecule: long non-coding RNA, 378 nt
Filed under: Anas platyrhynchos platyrhynchos (common mallard)
Lineage: Eukaryota; Metazoa; Chordata; Aves; Anseriformes; Anatidae
Description: lncRNA (ENSAPLG00000027647.1)
Source: RNAcentral